GGAUUAGGCAUGCAAGUCGAACGAGAAGCCCUUGCUUCAAUCCUUCGGGAGAGAAGCUUUGGUGGACAGUGGCGGAAGGGUGAGUAACGCGUGGAUAACCUGCCCUUGAGUUGGGGACAACAUCCCGAAAGGGGUGCUAAUACCGAAUGUGGUAACCUGUCGCAGGACAGGCUCACUAAAGACGGGGAUUCUUCGGAACCUGUCGCUCGAGGAGGGGUCCGCGUCCCAUCAGCUUGUUGGUAAGGUAAUGGCUUACCAAGGCAUACGGGUAGCCGGCCUGAGAGGGUGAUCGGCCACACUGGGACUGAGACACUGCCCAGACUCCUACGGGAGGCUGCAGUCGAGAAUCAUUCGCAAUGCCCGAAAGG
Molecule: ribosomal RNA, 368 nt
Filed under: uncultured anaerobic ammonium-oxidizing bacterium
Lineage: Bacteria
Description: bacterial SSU rRNA
Rfam family: Bacterial small subunit ribosomal RNA
Source: RNAcentral